AGCUCCAAUAGCGUAUAUUAAUGUUGUUGCAGUUAAAAAGCUCGUAGUUGGAUUUCUGGUCGGAGCGCCUGGCUGGCUCCGCAAGGGGUCAUGCAUGGGUACCUUCGGUCAUCCUCAGGGGAACUUGCACUGGUAUUCAUUUAUCGGUGUCGGGACGCCUGUCGUUUACUGUGAACAAAUUAGAGUGUUCAAAGCAAGGUGUACUUGAAUACAUUAGCAUGGAAUAAUAAGAUAGGACUUUGGUGGUUCUUUUUGAUAUUUUGUUGGUUUGCACGCCAAAGUAAUGAUUAAUAGGAGCAGUUGGGGGUAUUCGUAUUCAAUUGUCAGAGGUGAAAUUCUUGGAUUUAUAGAAGACGAACUACUGCGAAAGCAUUUACCAAGGAUGUUUUCAUUA
RNAcentral lists this ribosomal RNA (394 nucleotides) under Pedinellales sp. Its description in RNAcentral is "SSU rRNA". It matches the Rfam family "Eukaryotic small subunit ribosomal RNA", at positions 587 to 975 of the family's 1831-position model. The record is from RNAcentral. Lineage: Eukaryota; Dictyochophyceae; Pedinellales.